UAAUUACCUCUUCUCCACCUCUUGUAGUAGGUUAUGAUCCUCUAUUCUUUCAGGGUGAUGCUGUUGCAUGUGCUUCUGGAUUUAUAUUCUUCUGUGACUGUAUCAGUGGGUGAAGAUCCUGACCUAUUUGUGGAUUACACCGACUCAUAGAUUGUAAUUAAAUAAUCUAAUUUCUUCAGUGGUAAAGUGUAUACCCUGGCUGAUAGAAUGGAUGCUAUACUUAUGCUUGAUUAUUUAAUUUAUGAAGUGAAAAAUAUCUAUUUUUGUUAGAUUAGACCAUGUUUAUGACUUGGUGCGAUGGCAAGUGCCUUCGCCCAUGAGCGGUAGGUCUCGGGUUCGAGACUUGGGAGCAGCCUCUCCAUAAAUAGGGGUAAGGCUAGCCGACAUUCACCUCUCCCAGACCUUGCGUAAAGUGGGAGCCUUGUGCACUGGGUACGACCUUUUUUAGACCAUGUUUAUGACUGUUAUAAGUGGUCUUUUUCUGAGACUGGUCCAAUAUAAUGUUGGUAUUUGUUUAUAGAAGCCACAUUUGAAUUUUGAUGGACAACUAUUUUUGUGUUCUGUGACAAUUAAGAUUUAUUUGGAUGUCAUUAAAUAAGAACUUACUAAAACUUCCAUUUACUUUAGGUUUCCCAUUUUUUGAAGUUCCGCAGUUUGUUACAUGUUUAUAACUAAUGCAGAUAACUUCCAAUAGGGAGUCUCUGCUGAGACAUUGCUUUAGCCAUAAAAACUUGGCUUCUUCGAGCAUUGGUAAUGAUGUAUGCCUACGACUAAGCAACUUAUCAUUAUCGCGGAUGGGGUCUGUUGAGAAAUUACUGUGGGUCCAAAUGCUGGACCUCAGCCAUAAUGAACUUCAUUCACUUGAAGGUAUACUUCUUUUGCUCAUGUUGUGCAUCUUAAACGCCUAUGUGGUCUCCACAUUUUUAUCCAAGUAUUUUCCUCAGAUUUAUGGAAAAGUUGUGAUUUUAUAAAAUAUAUUGUUCUUUAGUAGUUUUCUUUGGGCAUUCAGUUCAUGUGGGGCUGAUAUAGUCGGGAACAAAUUCAAUAUUUAAAGGGUUGCCUUACCAGUAAUAUCUAGGAAGCGUGUUGGAGAAAAUCACCAUGAUUAGAAUUUUGAUUUUUUAAGCGUUCUUUUUCUUGCUAGCUGCUGGACUGUAGUCAAUAAGCUUUGUGGUUGAUUGUUUUUCAUGUAAGAGGAAAAAUGUCUUAUGCUUGGGCCUUUGGACAGGGUUGGAGGCCAUGCAGCUUCUAUCUUGCUUAAAUCUGAGUAACAACAAGCUCGGCAGUUUCACUGCUCUGGGGCCUUUGAAACUAUUGAAUUCACUGCAAGUUUUGGAUAUCUCGUACAAUGAGAUAGGUUCACACACUAUCGACACGACAAGGUAUCAAUGUUCUACUCCUCUUUCUCAUACAGAAGAAGCUAGUUGGAACAAUGAAGAAAUUGUAACUGGGGGAGCCGAUGUGAAAAGUUAUUGGGAAGCUUUUCUGAUACUUAAAAGCAUGAGCUUGAAGCAGUUAGUCACUGUGGGAAACGCAAUUUCUGUUGAAAACUUCAAGUCAUUUGUGGUCAAGUGUGUUCCUACACUCGAGUGGCUGGAUGGCGAUAAGUUGCAUUGACCUUUAAUUCCGGCUAUUUUUACAGUGAAGAGUACCAUGUACUGAUAGUUAACCAAAGAGAACACAUGAUACGUUGCUAGUUUUGACCCAGAUUAUUAACUCGUCGGUAGGAGCAUAGACUACAGGUUUUCAAUUGUCUUAUGUUCUGGUGAAAAUGUGUUUUUGUGUGUUUCACAAUAUGCGUCAUAUGGAAUGCGUUUAUUUUGCAGUCACGGUGCAUUGGUUUUGCCUAGUUUUGAUUGAAGUUGUUAGGUAAUUACAGGGUAGCGACCAAAUUUUCUGGAACUAUUAUAUUAUUACAAAGGGAGGUCGUCGGACAUGGAAGAAACCGAUCGAGUAAAUGCUACCCAGAAUAGCAUUGAAUUAGAAAAGUGCGGUGGCUGCAGCGCGGACAAAUGACGGAACUGUAGAGACCUUGAAAGGAAGAAUUGGAGGAAUUUAACUGGCAGGGUGAUCAAGCCAUCUUGCAUUCUUCUUGCUGCGGUGGCUUGUAUUUGAACUGCACAGCAGAUUGCAGAAAGAUAUCAGAAGGCUAAAUAGUGAAACCAACAAUAAAUGUUUUUGCUAAAGCGCAACGGGGGGAGGAUAUAGUAUUACUAUUUCGGAACUCUUUCAACAUUGAGAAGAGAUGUAUUACUAGACUAAGAAUUAGUUGGUAACUAACACGUGUUUCAGCUACAAAUCAAAUUGCGCAAUGUAUGAGAUAGACGACAAUUGAGAAGAUAUUUUGAACUCACCAAAACCAUGUGCAAGACUGUCGCUGUUAAGUUGUUCCUCCAAAUUCAUUGGAAUCCCAUGAAAGCAGGAGCUGAGAAUAACACCUGCAAACAGCCCUAAUAGGGCAAGAAGAUAAAUAGCCUUGUUCAUUUUGUUUGACUUUGAUACCAUAUUCUCUCUCUCUCUCUCUAGAUUUGUGUGGGUGGUUUUAAAUUAGCUCAGAGGUACUCCCUUUAUAUAACAACGAGAUACUUGAAGCUCUUGCUUCCAACAUGCUCUUUGAUUAUUUCAGUUGGUCAAGUUUUUGGUUUAAAAAUUAUGGGAAGCUUUAUUUGGUCAAAACCAUUUGGCCCCUCCUUGAUUAAGGUAUUGAGCGCGCGCGCGCACACACACAUGUGUGUGUAUAUAAAUAUGUGUGUACUUGCGUAGACUUGAGUGUAACCAAGUUAAUUAGAGCUGUAUAAUAUUUCAUAUACUAAAUUACUAUUAAAUUAGUCCAUCAACAAUACUAAAUUGGCCUUGAUAAUCAAUCAUAGGCGGUCAUUAAAAAAAAGUGUUAGAGAGACUAUGUUUUAAGAACAUAUUUUGUAUACAACAUGAUGUGGUGAUAAACGGUUGAAUUUUUUUUAUAAUAAUUUAAAGAAAGAGUUACAACCAUCAUCACAUCAUGUGUGGUUUGCAAAAUAUGUUUCAAGUAGAUGAUCUCUCUAACAUCACCCUUAAAAAAUAUGAGUAAUAAGGAGUUGUUGUGGACUCUUGAGGAGCACGGUGUGAAGGUGUCAACUCAGAUUUGUUUGUUAGAGACAUAAAACAAUGAAAACCUCUUUCUUGGAGAGGACGUAUGACAGAGUCAACUCCCCAAUAUUGUGUAUUUUUUAUGAUCCAAUAUUUAAUUUGUUGGGCCUAAGUUCAAUUUGGUCUUUACAUUUGUUUUUCCUUAACACGCAUCUUGGAACUUGGAUAAGAAAAUAUGCCUUAUGAGGGUGCAAGAUUGGCAAUAGGAGGGCUAAUUACAUUUUACAUACUAGAUUUUAAUUUUUUCACAUCGCAUUUUGGAGUUUUGAAAUUAUUUCAAUUUACACAUUUUAUUCCUCAUACAUUAAAUUAAAUAGGCUUUUUAUCCAUGUAAUGUAAAAUGUGGCUUACACGUUAGUUUAUAUAAGGAUCUCAAGCUAAUUAUGUCAUCAGCUUAAUGAAUUAUCAUACAUUCAAUCCCAUCAAAUGCAGAAAUUGAUGGAAUUUCAAUACUUUAUAGUGGAAUAGAAGAAAAGUAGAACUUAGUGACCUACUUUGAAAAUCAUCUUAAAUUUGGAGAGUGUAUAAUGUAAUCAACCUCUGGCAAUAUAAGACAUAGUAGGCCGACCACUUUGGUGCUAUAACAAAUAAUUAUUCAUGAUUACACACAUAAUAGGAUUUGAUAGAAAGUAGGAUAUCGACAUGUAUAGAGUAAAAUCUUUGUAUAUGUUGUAGGUCUAUUUGACUGAUUUGUAUUUAGGAUUAGAGAGGGAGAGAGGCCGGCAACAAGAGAGAGAGAGAAGAGAGAUUGAAUUGUGAGGUGUGUGUUGUAUCACCCCAUUGUGCCUUUAUUUAUAGUAGUAUGAAAUGUUAAAUCCUUACCCUUUUAGGAUUACAACUCUAAUAGGAUAUUAACUACUAAAGGGAACAUUCCAAGAUAUCACUAGAUACAAUAUGAUGUACAAAAUCACAUUCCUAUUCUAAAUACGAUUGUAACACUCCCCCUUGAGUGUGUAAAUACUCAAACAAAACAUCACAUCAGAUCUUCAGCAGAUAAGUUAAAACAGUUGAUGAAGUCGGCGACACAACGAAUGAAUGCGAGUCUCGAAUUUAAAGAAAGUAUGCAUUGGUAGUAAACUCACAAAACCUCGCUAUGGUAAAACCUAAGGCAGGUGAAAACCCAUAUACUAAGGAGAAAGGUGAGAAGUAUGCAUAAUGUCUAAAACAAAUGUCAAAUAGAACGAAAGUAGUUAACUUAACGGAGUAUGAUCAUCCCAGGAUGGGUCAUCAAAACCUUAUUAGGUAUCAAAAACCCAGUGGGAAAAAUGCUCCUAAUCAUAGGAAAAUGAGUACAUAAAUAUCAAGUGAGUAUGUUUUAGGAUACUCCCACUGAGUUAGACACAACUUCCAAAUAAGAGAACUACAAGCAAUUCAAUUCAGAUAAUUUAUGCAUAUCGAUUCCUUGGACGAGCUUCUGAAAAGUAGACUUGGUAAAGAGAUCAGCCAGGUUGUCCUAGGAACGGAUUUGCUUGAUUUCAAUGUUCUAAUGUUGUUGUUACUGGUGAGAAUAAAAGAACUCUGGUGCUAUGUGCUUGGUGUUGUCUCCCUUAAUGUAUCACUUUUUUAACUACUCGAUACAUAUUGCAUUGUCUUCAAAGAUCAUUGUAGGAAGGUCAACAACGGUAGUAAGACCACUAGUGCUUCGAAUAUGUUCCAUAACUGCUCUCAACCAAAAGCACUCACGCGAUGCUUCAUGCAGGGCGAGGAUUUCAGCAUGGUUUGAAGAAGUCGCAACUAGCAUUUCCUUGGUAGACCUCUAAGAUAUAACGGUGUCUCAAACGGUAAAGACAUAGUCCAUUUGAGAACAUGCCCUAUGUGGGUCAGACAGAUAACCAGCAUCUGCGUAACCAACAAGGCAUGAAUCAAGGCGGCUGCCCCUCUCAAGGAUUUGUGGGUAUAGAACAAGCCCAAAUCCAUCGUACCUUUGAGGUAGCAGAAAAUCUCUUUAUCACCAUUGCAGUGUCUGCGUGUAGGCUCAUUGAUGUAUCUAGUCAAAAGAUUAACAGCAAAUGAGAUGUCAGGUCUAGUGCAAUGAGCCAAGUACAAUAAAACACCAAUUACACUUAGGUAUGGAAAUCCAGGCUCCAAAAUCUCUUCCUUAUCCUUCUUGGGAUAGAAAGGAUCUUGUUUAGCAUCUAGAAUCCGAACGACCAUAGGAGUACUCGAAGGCUUUGCUUUAUCCUCAUUAAAACGUCGUAACACCUUUUAUGUGUAGUUCGAUUGAUGUACCAGGAUUCCAUCCGAACAAUGCUCAAUCUUCAAGCCUAGACAAUAUUUAGUUUUCCCAAGAUCUUUUAUCUCAAAUUCCGAUUUCAAGUGAACGAAAAUUUCCUCAAGCUCUGUGGUAGUUCCGAUGAGGUUCAUAUCAUUUACAUAAACUGCAAUGACCGCAAAUCUGGAAUGUGACUUCUUUAUGAACACACAUGGACAUAAUUCAUUGUUAACCUUGACUUGUCAAAUAUUCACUCAGAUGGUUAUACCACAUCCACCCAGAUUGUUUCAAUCCGUAGAGUGAUCUCCUCAAUCUAAUAAAGAAAGUGUUUCGUGGUCUAUAACUAUUUGAACCAGUCAAUGGAAGUCCUUCUCGAACUUUCAUGUAGAUUUUCGUAUCUAGAUCCCCAUAGAAAUACGCGGUUACCACGUCCAUAAUUUGCAUAUUCAGUUUUUCAGAAACUACCAAACUAAUAAGGUAGUGGAAUAUUAUGACAUCCAUUAUGGGAGAAUACGUCUUCUCGUAUUCAAUCCUAGGGCGUUGAGAGAAGCCUUGCGCUAUUAGGCGUGCUUUGUAUCGCACUAUUUCAUUCUUCUCAUUAUGCUUCCUCGAAGACCCACUUGUAGCCCACGGGUUUCAUAUGUGAUGGAGUAGGAGCUAUAGCUCCAAACACCUUACGUUUCACGAGCGAAUCGAGUUCAACCUUGAUUGUUUGUUUCCAGUUUGACCAAUCCGUUCUACAUCGGCAUUCAUCAAUGGAACGUAGUUCAAUGUCAUCACUAAGUAUAAUGUCAGUAACUAAUGUGUAUGCAAAUUCAUCGUCGAUUAUCAUCUUAUUUCGAUUCCAAACCUCAUCCAAUACUGCAUAGUGGACAAAAAUCUCGCAAUUCUUAGGAGGUCGAGUUGUCUCGUCUAAGACAUCACCGUAAUCUAUAAUAACCGUAUGUGUUAGAACAGAUGAGUAAGAGAUGGUCGGAUCAGACUAGGAUCACUAGUUUAUGCCGUUUUCCUCUUCCGGGGUUAUGAAUCCUUUGAACCAGGGGGUCUACCACGCUUCAAGGUAGAAGUAAAUGAUUGGUUAGCCACCAAUGUACCGGGCUGCGUAGAAGGUGCGGCCGCCCCACCCUCGAGGACGGUUCGACCUUACCAGGCGGUAUUACGGCGUACUCUAGGUACGUCUAUCCUUACAGGUGCGUUUGCAACAAGUAUAUGUGAUCUUAUGACCUUUGCUAAAUCAGUAAUAGCAUCCGGCAUGCUUUGAGCAAUACUCUAAAGAUCUAUAAUUCGUCGCACUUUGGUUUCAGACUGGGCAGUGUGAGGAUCUAAAUGAGAUAUAGUGAGUGCAUACCAUGACAAUUCGUGACAUUCUACAGGAACGUUAGCAUGCUUAUUUCCCAUAAUGACGAAAAGACUGUCUCAUCAAAGUGACAAUCCACAAAACGUGCAGUAGAGAAUUCUCUUGACAAGGUCUCUAAGUAGCAAAUAAUUGAUGGCGAAUCAUAACGGACAUAAAUUCUCAUUCUUCUCUAAAGACCCAUUUUGGUACGUUGUGGCAGCGCUAUUGGCACAUAGACUACGCACAUAAACACACGUCAAUACGAGACGUCGGGCUCAUAUCUAGUAACCAACUGUAACGGUGCAUGAGGUUGGGUAAUAGUAGGCCUCAGGCGGACCAACAUAGCUUCAUGCAAUACUGCAUAGCCCCAGGCAGAUAUCAGCAGUUUGGUUCGCAUAACCAAAGUCUGAGCUAUUAAUUGAAGGCACUUUAUGAAAGAUUCUACCAAGUUGUUUUGGGUGUGAACAUGGGGUAUAAGAUGUUCGACUUCAAUCUCAACUGACAUGCAAUAGUCGUCAAAAGUUUGUGACGUAAACUCUCUAGCGUUAUCCAGUCGAAUCGACUUGAUCGGAUAAUCAGGAUGGUGAGCCCUAAGCUUAAUAAUUUGUGCUAGGAGUUUCGCAAAUGCAGUGUUGCGUGUGGACAAUAUGCAGACAUAUGACCAACGUGUCAAUGCAUCAACCAACACCAUAAAGUAUUUAAAUGGCCGGCAUAUUGGUUGGAUAGGUCCACAAAUAUCCCCUUAAAUCCUCUGAAGAAACUUAGGAGGGUUGUGAAUAAUCUUUGUAAUUGAGGGUUGAGUAUUCAACUUCCCCAAAAAACAAGCUUUGCUGGCGAGAAUCCAAUGUAGGGAGGUAAAUGUGAUGAUUUGAGGAUACGAUGCAUUAUAUCACGUUCGGGAUGUCCCAUACGGUUAUGCCAAAGUAACAAAGUGCUCUGGAACUCAGGCUCAGGGCCGGCCACAUGGUGGGUCUCUAUACCGCGAAUGGUGGUGAUGUACAACUCGUUCGGGAGAUGUUCCAGCUUCUCGUGAAUACGUUUUUGGUCAUACUCGUAAGAAGUGAUACAAAGAUAUUGAGAUCCAUUCUCUUCAGUGGUUUCAAUAUGAUAUUGAUUAUCUCGAAUAUCUCUAAAGCUCAGCAACGUUCUUCCGGAACAUGGAUAAUAGAGGGCCUCUUUAAUGGUUAAUUCAAUACCAUUAGACAACAUUAUACGGGCCUUUUUGUAUCCUUCAAUCAGGUUGGAUGAGCCUGAGAGGGUUGUUAGAGGUGCUUUCUUAAGUAUAAAGUUAGUAAAAUAAUGUUGCCACGCAAUAUGGUGUGCCUAGUAGCACUAUCAGCCAAACAACUAACUUCCCCACUAGACAUAUCUAUAAAUAAAUUGAUUGAAUUAGUCACAUGCAUAAAUAUAAUUCCAUUCAUUCAAUUAAUCAAUUCGAGAGAUAAUAUCCAUAAAAUAAUUAUCCAUAAUUCAAAACAAACCAAAACCAAACAAAUUAUUCCAAAUACUUAGAAAAAUUGUCUAAAAAUUAAACCAUAAACCUAAAAAAAAAUAGGGGGUUAGGCCCCUCCUAGUGGGUUUGGCCACUAGGGGUAAAAAAACACCCUAAAAACAUGUCUAGGAGAAUAAAACUUAUUCGUCCAUAAAAUUUGAUGCCUCCUAAAAAUUUGAUAUCUCCAUGGAUGUAGUAGCAUCUUCAGGAUGUUCCACAUUGGCAAAGUUAGGCUCAUGACGAGAAUGAUACUGGGCAAUAGUCUCAGGAGUAGCUCUGCAUACGCAUGAUCAAGGUAUUAAAUAUCGAUAAUAUCAGAAAUAUCGGUAGUCCGAAAACACGGAAAUAUCGAUGGAAAUAUCGGGAUAAUAUCGAUAUCGAUAAAAAUAAUAUGGAAACCACAGAAAUUGUAAGAAAAACUUGGAAAUUUUUAUUGAAACUUUGCAGGAUGUUUAUUUAGUCAAUUAUCUAUUAGUUUAUCACAAAAAAUUGGAAGGAAAUGCAUUGCAUGAUGGAUUUAACAUUAUUAAGUUGAUUAUAUAGCGAGCUGGCAAACAUUGUGAAUGUAGAAAAUAUGUAGUAAUUAAUGAAAGAAGUUUAAACACACCAUAAUUAUUUAUAUAUAAUGAAUCAGUACAAUAUUUUACACUUUAUACAUUGCAUGGUAAGAUACAUGAGUGACUUAGUACCACAUAGAGUUCCUAUGAGGUUCAAAUUUUUCACUAUCUUCAUCAUCUCUAUGUGUAGAGUGAGUGUAUUGUGAAGAGUAGUUAUCAAAUGAUAAAUCCCCAAAAUAGUUUUGCAUGUAAUUGUUAACAUGUCACCCAUAUGGAUCCGAGAUUGGUUGACAUUGUCCAUAAGAAAAAUCAUUUGAAGAUUGAGUCUCGGAUUGUUUCCAUGAGUCACUCGAUUCCAUCCCAACAGGAAUCGGAUAUGAAGGGUAGGGAAAUGGUUGGUUAUGAGUAUAACCAUAGUUACUACUUCCCAAUCCAACAGAGUCCAAAGUUAUAGAUAACGAGUCAUCUUCUUGACUUGACAAAAUCCCCUUGCCUCUUUCUCUACGAGUAUAGUCCUUCCCUAUAGCACAAAUUCAUGGUCCUGCCGGCCUACUGCCAUGGUUCUCAUCCUAUGUUGCAUGCGUGAAGUUUGCCUCACCAGUGAAGGGGCUCAUAAAUCCGGGAGGUGGUUCAACAUAGUUUCCAUAUCCACCACCACUACCUCCAGCUCCACUAUAUCCUUCAUCAUUCCCACCUCCGGUGGUAGGUGAGUCUCCUCUUGAUCUUGUACUAGAGCUAUCAUUGGUAUCAGCACGAUGUUGUGGUUGUGUAGGAUUGGAAGAAUGUGGAAUUCCAGUGUUUCUUGGUCUUGGGCGCAAAAGUUCUUCCAAAGAGUCAGCGCUGCCAGAUCCCACCUCCUCCGCUAAUACUCUUUCUACAUUUAUCCCUUCAUUACGUGCUUCUUCAGCAACUCUGGAAGCUGGGUUGCCUUCAUCAUCAUCUAAAUGAAGACGUCUAAUCCAUUGAUAAAGUUGGUUACCCUCUGUACCAUCAUCUUCAGCAACAAUAUCAAACACAUCUAGUAGGUCAUCACGGUCGACAUGAUUUAUUUCUGCUUCCUUAUCUCGAAUUUGAAGCUUCAUGUUGUAGUGGCAAUAAACUAAUUUUUCCAACCUACUAUGAGCCAACCUAUUUCUUUGCUUUGUGUGUAUGAGUGCAAAUGUGCUCCAAUUUCUUUCACAAGCAGAUGAGGAAGUUGUUUGUGAUAAUACUUUAAUUGCUAACUUUCUCACAGUUGGUGCAUCAGUCUCAGACAUGAUCCACCAUUCAGCUACAAUGAAAAACAAUGUUGAUGAGCCUAAUAACUCCAACAAAUUCUAUUAUAAACUUAUCGUGAAAUAUGUUUACACUCACUAGGAGACAUUUUUGUUCGAGCAACAACUGAUGUUAGUUCUACAAAAGUUCUUCUUACAUCUUUAAACCAUGUUAGCUGAAUUCAAUAAAUCGUGUUAGUUUAAUCCACAAAGUAAUUAUUAUAAUUCAAGUAAUUGUGUACCUCAUUUCCAAAUUGGCCAACUGCUGGUGAUGCAGGGUCUAAUUUAGAGUAUACAUUAUGUACAGCACGUAUAAGGGUACCAUCAUCUCCAACACCGGGUCUGUAUUGGUAUAGAGGAUUCAAAUAAUAUGCUAUUCAAAGAAACACAUACUCUAUAAGAGAAUUAAUACUUAUGCAACUAAAGAAAUGAAUUGCAAAUUAUGACAUAAUUUAUACCUGAUGCAUGCAAAUCGUGGUAUAAUGUUUUAUACCAUCGGUCUUCAAUUAUCUUUAUGACCCACCUUGCACCAUGUUUUCUUUCCAAUUCAUCCUUCACUACACGCAUCAACUCAUAUAUUGCCCCCAUAAUAGGAUACACUUCUGUGUCAACGAUCCGUAAAACUUUGUAAAGAGGUUCAAACACUUGGCACACAUGUUCUGAUUGAGUCCAAAAAGCAUGAUCAAGCACUAUACUUUCCACCAUACGACCUACAUUUGAGCGGCUGAAAUUGUGGUUGGCCCAAUCAUCACUAGUAAAUAGUUACUUCAACCCUGCUUUCUUCUUAAGUAGGCUGUCUAAUGCAAUAUAGUUGGUGGCGAAUCGAGUGGUAGCUGGAUGAAUAAUUUUUCCUUUGCAAAAUUCACGCAUCUUUGCCAACAACCAACCGUGAUUGUAAAUAUAAUUUGUGAUCGUUCUAACUCUUUUUACCACAGUAGUACGUUCUCUCUCUUCCCCAUUGCCUCAAACAUGAGAUCAAUACAAUGUGCUGCACAUGAUGUCCAAAACACAUUAUGAUGCUUCAUUAACUUUUUUUCCAGCUUUGACAAAUGCAGAACCGUUGUCGGUCAUGACUUGGACAACAUUAUGCUCUCCCACCUCCAUGAUUACAUCCCUCAAUAAUUUGUAAAUAUACUUGUAGUUCUUUAUAUGGUCUAAAGCAUCAACAGACUUCAAAAAAAUUGUCUUUCCCUUGGAGUAUACCAUGAAGUUUAUGAUAGACAAUCUGGUCAGGCCGGUCCAUCCGUCACACAUGAUUGUGCAACCAUUAGUUUCCCACUUUGACCUCAACUUGCUAACAUACUCGCCAAUGUCUUUAUACUCCAUAUCCAAAUAUUUGUUUCUUAUCUCAUAGGGAGUGGGAGGUUGUACUUCAACACCGGCCUGUUGACAUCCCACUACCAUAUUUUUGAAAUGAUGUGAUGAUGCUUUCUCACCAGGGACAUUUUCAUACAUAAAGAACUUGCUAAUUAGAUGCCCCAUUCCCUCCUUCACAUUACCUCCAAUGAAAUAACUCCAAACACUCUUUUGACAUGCUUUGGAUGACUUAUAUAAACUUAGGGCUAUUGGUGGUGUUGGUUGUGAUUCUCUAAGACUGCCUCCUCGUCUCAUUUGUGCACCACCACUUAUCCCGGAACCUUGUGCUCUAUUAGGAAUUUUAUAAAGGUGUUCUCUUUCCCAUGCUGACUGUUUGGAGGCACGUAAUGCUUGUUUCAAACUGCGUCGUUCUUCAGGUCCUAUGUCAUCAUCACAUUCGUCCUCAUCGUCAUCAUCAUCACUGUCAACCGCUUGGCCAUAGACUUCUCCUUGUAGCCCUGCUCGAAUAUUUUCCAUUCCAUGUGUUAUCUUUUCCUUCUGCUGUUUUUUAUUUUUUAAUAAUGUGCUGAUGAAUGCCUUCACUUAUGGGGGGACAUUAUCGCAUCGUUGAACAUUUUUUGCUGGAUCUAAUCCACUAAGAUGGUACUUAAGUCGUGUCACUCCGCCACUCUUCAUUACCCGACCACAAUAUUUGCAAAUUGUGCCAUGUUUGUUUCCGUCUAUUGGGUCUCCAUGUUCCCAAGCUGGAUCACGUUUAGUAACUCCACUGGACAUCUUAAACGUACCUAUAUUUAUUUUUCAUGAAAAUUAGACAAUUAUUUUUUGGCCAAAAAAAAUAGUAGUGAUGACGGUUAUAUAAAAGAACCUAAAUAAUAAAGUUAUUCUACAGAAGAAUUAAAUAUGAAGUAAAGAAAAUGAUUGUAAAAAUUUAAGUAAUUAUAAAAAUAAUAUGGAAUAAUAAAAUCUAAUAUUAAUGAAUAAUAAUCCAUUUUGAUAAAAAAAAAUAAUCCUAAUAUAAAACAUAGUGAUGAAUAAUAAUCCAAUUUGAUAAUAAUCCAAUUUAAUAAUAAUCCAAUUUAAUGAAUAAUCCAAUUUGAUAAUAAUCCAAUUUAAUGAAUAAUAAUCCAAUUUGAUAAUAAAACCUAAUAUUAAUAAAAUAAUAAAUAACAUUAAACAUAUUAAAAUUAUCCUAGGGAAUAAUUAUACAACAUUACUUAAUUACUUAAAAAAAUUAACAUGUAAUUGUUAACAUUACUUAAUUACUUACAAAAACUAACAUGCAAGUAUUAAUUACUUAAAACAAUUAACAUGUAAUUGUUAACAUUACUUAAUUACUUACAAAAACUAAUAUGCAAGUAUUAAUAACUUAAAAAAAUUAACAUGUAAUUGUUAACAUUACUUAAUUACUUACAAAAACUAACAUGCAAGUAUUAAUUACUUAAAAAAAUUAACAUACGAGUCCACACAAAUUUUUUUGUUGUUGUAUAAAUUACAAUAAUAUAAAUAUAAGUUUGUAAACUUACUUUAAAUAUGGAACCCUUUGUGUUCAAGCUCUGGAAUGGAUCUUGAAUGGCUUUGAAAGGGGUAAGGGAAGAAGAAGAAACGAAAAUGCUCUGAAUGGCUCUGAUACUCCACCUCUUGAAAGAAUAUCACAGUGGCAGCUUUGAAAGGGGUAAGGGAAGAAUAAGAAACGAAAAUUCUCUGAAUGGCUCUGAUACUCCACCUCUUGAAAGAAUAUCACAGUGGCACACGGUUUUGAAUGAAACCACCAUUCAUGGUCUGAAAUUGUACAAGUUAUAAUUGUAAAAGUGGUCUAAAAUUGUCAAAAUAAUUGUAAAAGUUGUCAGGAAUCCUGAGUGAGUCAUGUGUCCUCCUGACAGGAGGAACCCCACACACACACACACAACGCACGCAACCACACACGAACACAACGCACGCACACAAACAUCACUGAUAAGCUCAUAUUUAUAUAUAUUUUACAUCAAAUUCACUUCUCUUUUCUUAGUUAGUUCCUUAUAUUUUUGAGCUAUUUACUUUGUUUUUGUGUUUUGUGGGAUUUGUCAAGCAAAUAAAAGAAAAUUAGCACAAGUAGGAUUUUUAGUAACAAAUUCGUCAAAACUGCCUGUGCAGAUCAGCUGACUUUGGAAGAAAGUUGCGAACAGCUCAGAAUGAAUUAGAGAAUGAACCUUAUAUUCUUGGAACGCUACGGAUGUCUAUUUUCUGGAGCAUUUCGCGGAUUGUUAAUAUCAUUUUCGUAGAAGAAGUUAUGGCUGUUUUAACACUGAAAGGUUCACAAGAGACUGGGCAGUUUGUAACUGCAAUGAAAGCAAUAAACCCAAUAAAUCUAGUUGUCAAAACUGAUGCAGCCAAGAACAAGUCAGCUGACACCUAUUCAAAUAUCAGAGGAAAUGAAAUUAAAAAUGAGGAUUAAGAGGGAGUAAUUGGCAUAAAGGCUACCUAAAGUGUUACAAUUGUUUUACCACAUUUCCUCUCACUUAUUGUCAUCACUAAAUGGCUAUUAGUGGGUGAGUUAAGGAGAAGAAAAUGAUGCAGCAAGAAUUGGUUUAAAAGCAGCAUUGGGGAAGGAAGGAAGAGAAGAGGAGGCCUCGGUCGAUUUCUUUCGGUUCUAUCUUCUCAAACUCAUGUCUAUGUUUUGUUUUAACUUAAGGAUUGUGUGUAACUAAAUUUUUAGUAGUUAGGGGCUGUUUUGAAGCCCCGAAUAUGAUUGCAAUUUUGUUAUGACAUUUCGUUGAAUUACUUUUAUGAAUGGAUGAAAAUUGGUUCACUACUUGUCUCAUUGAUGAAUUCUUUAUUUGUUUUCUAUGGAUGCAUACGUAGUAAGCAUAUCUAGGAUUCUAAUGCUAUGAAUAUGUGUGUGCCUGCCCUUGUCGAAUGAGGACCUACAUAUAUUCUAGAGUAGUACUUGUUAAUUGCGAUUAACAUGUGAACCAAUUUCUAGGAUAAGUAAGACAACGCCAGUACUUACGAUGCCUUAUGAUGACUCAAACUCUUUUCGUUCUUAAUGAUUUCUACUUGUUAAAUCUAUGAACACGCCAUUCUAGAUUACAUACUAGGGACUAAGUUAAGUUGAAAACGCCAUUCUCUUAACAUACUACGUAAGAAAGAGUAAUAGGUUGAGUUCUAACAUUGAGCCAACUUGAGCAUCUUCAUCCGGAAAUAAAAGGAAUUUGAAUGAAACAUACAUGUUU
Molecule: long non-coding RNA, 14505 nt
Filed under: Malus domestica (apple)
Lineage: Eukaryota; Viridiplantae; Streptophyta; Magnoliopsida; Rosales; Rosaceae
Description: long non-coding RNA (MDOM_LNC015814)
Source: RNAcentral